Molecule: ribosomal RNA, 119 nt
Organism: Takifugu rubripes (torafugu)
Lineage: Eukaryota; Metazoa; Chordata; Actinopteri; Tetraodontiformes; Tetraodontidae
Source: Ensembl
GCUUACGGCCAUACCACCUUGAGAAAGCCCGAUCUCGUCUGAUCUCGGAAGCUAAGCAGGAGCGGGCCUGGUUAGUACUUGGAUGGGAGACCGCCUGGGAAUACCAGGUGCAGUAAGCU